Molecule: long non-coding RNA, 966 nt
Filed under: Homo sapiens (human)
Lineage: Eukaryota; Metazoa; Chordata; Mammalia; Primates; Hominidae
Description: HSALNT0175707
Source: RNAcentral
GCCAGAACCACCUCAUCAUGGGAACAUCUUAUCAAUAUCCUGCUGGGUAGCAAGCCGUACUGCCUAGACCCCUCCCACCCAUACCUAUAAGUACCCCCAGGCUAUAAGCAGCGGUGGGCUCUGGCAUUACACUGGUUCCCCACUUCUGUAGGUUUUAUGCUGGAUGUAAAGCCUGCAUUUGCUGCUGAGAACCUACAAUACAAUGUUGAAUGCUCAGUGGAAGGAAAUUUCCUUGUCUCAGGUUUUUCUUUUGUCCAGCCACCUCUCUAAACUGUUUGACUUCUGCAGUUGUUUUUCAGGUGUGGGACGAAGGACAGAACUCAGUCAUCUCUCUGCUCACCUGAGACAAAUGCAUAUCUGAUUGCUUCCUCUGCCCUAUGUUUAUUUUAUCUUAUGUGAAAAGGCAGAUUUAUUGGACUAGACAAAUGUAUAAGUAACUAUUCCUGUACCCCCCUGUCAUGCGUACAUUGUGUAUUCAGGGAAUGGCUGAUGAAACACUCAAGAGGAUGCAACUGCUUGCCUCUUAUCUAGUCACACCCUUUAAAAAAUUUCUUCCUCUUUCCUCAUACCUGCGCUUUUGCCUUUGAAUACUGAGGUCUCCAGACCCUCUUCAGAAAAAGUAUGGGUCACAAUUUUCCCUGUGGUUCUGGGUUCUUUCUCAGGCAUGUCCUUAACCUUGGCAAACAAACAUCUUAAAAUGAUUUAGACUUGCCUCAGUCGUUUUGAUUUACUCUGUAUCUGUACAUGUACUCUGUAAAUUUUGGCUGGCAAGUCCAAAAUUUAUAGUGUGGGCCAGCAGGCUGGAGAUACGGAAGAGCUGAUGGUGCAGAUGAAGCUUGAAGGCAGUCUUCUGGAAAAUUCCUCUUGCUCCAUGAGGGGAGGGAUGAGGGAAAUGGAGGGGGGAAGGUCAGCCUUUUGUUUCACUCAGACCUUCAACUGAUUGAAUAAAAUCUACCCACAUUAUGA